This 606-nucleotide ribosomal RNA is filed under the name Triticum aestivum (bread wheat). Its description in RNAcentral is "partial small subunit ribosomal RNA". Lineage: Eukaryota; Viridiplantae; Streptophyta; Magnoliopsida; Poales; Poaceae. The record is from RNAcentral.
UGUAGUCUCAACGAUGAUGCAUACAUGUCAACUAUGGGUGUUGGGUCCAACAAUUCGCAUUGGUCUCAAAGCAAUGACAUCCAUUUCGAAGAUCAUGAGUUUGAGGUGGACGAGGAGGGCGAGGGCAUUGUCGACGCGCCGAAAGGAAGAGCGGGCAAUUACACCACCAACGAUGACAAGUUACUAUGCUAUACUUAUUUGCAAGUGUCGAGGGAUCCAUCCAUUGGAGGUGAUCAAAGUAGAGACGCGUAUUGGGGGCAAAUGAAAGAACACUUUGAUGCUCACAACGUGAGUGGAGUUGACCGCUCCGAGAGAUCACUUCGGUCCCGAUGGUCGACAAUCAACUCAGAUUGUCAAAAGUGGGCGGCCGCACAAAAGGCGGUUGACAAGAUUAACCCAAGUGGCACAAAUGAGGAUGAUCGAGUAAGUGGCAUCUCAUAUAUGUUCAUCAUACUUGUUUUUGGUGACCGAAGUGCUAACUUGUUUUGUUUUUCUUGUAGUACAACAUUGCACACAACUUGUUCAAAGAAGAGACAAAGACAACCAAGAAGGGGAAGAUCAAGAAAGGCAGGAUCUUUACCUUGCCUCAUUGCUAUGAAGUGUUAA